AUUGAACGCUGGCGGCAUGCCUUACCUAGCAAGUCGAACGGCAGCACGGAGCUUGCUCUGGUGGCGAGUGGCGAACGGGUGAGUAAUAUAUCGGAACGUACCCUAGAGUGGGGGAUAACGUAGCGAAAGUUACGCUAAUACCGCAUACGAUCUAAGGAUGAAAGUGGGGGAUCGCAAGACCUCAUGCUCGUGGAGCGGCCGAUAUCUGAUUAGCUAGUUGGUAGGGUAAAAGCCUACCAAGGCAUCGAUCAGUAGCUGGUCUGAGAGGACGACCAGCCACACUGGAACUGAGACACGGUCCAGACUCCUACGGGAGGCAGCAGUGGGGAAUUUUGGACAAUGGGCGAAAGCCUGAUCCAGCAAUGCCGCGUGAGUGAAGAAGGCCUUCGGGUUGUAAAGCUCUUUUGUCAGGGAAGAAACGGUGAAAGCUAAUAUCUUUUGCUAAUGACGGUACCUGAAGAAUAAGCACCGGCUAACUACGUGCCAGCAGCCGCGGUAAUACGUAGGGUGCAAGCGUUUAUCGGAAUUAUGGGCGUAAAGGGGGGCCCAGGCGGUUUUGUAAGUCUGAUGUGAAACCCCGGGGUUCAACCUGGGAAAUUGCCAUGGGAGAUUCCAAGGCUAGAAUUUUGCCAGAGGGGGGGUAGAAUUCCCCGGUGUACCAGUGAAAAUGCUUAGAUAUGUGGAGGACCCCCGAGGGCGAAGGCCCGCCCCCUGGGUCAAGGAUUGCCGCUCCGGCCCCAAAGGCGGGGGAGCCAAACAGGAUUAGAUACCCUUGGUAGUUCACGCCCUAAACGAUGUCUACUAGUUGUCGGGUCUUAAUUGACUUGGUAACGCAGCUAACGCGUGAAGUAGACCGCUGGGGGAGUACGGUCGCAAGAUUAAAACUCAAAGGAAUUGACGGGGACCCGCACAAGCGGUGGAUGAUGUGGAUUAAUUCGAUGCAACGCGAAAAACCUUACCUACCCUUGACAUGGCUGGAAUCCUUGAGAGAUCAGGGAGUGCUCGAAAGAGAACCAGUACACAGGUGCUGCAUGGCUGUCGUCAGCUCGUGUCGUGAGAUGUUGGGUUAAGUCCCGCAACGAGCGCAACCCUUGUCAUUAGUUGCUACGAAAGGGCACUCUAAUGAGACUGCCGGUGACAAACCGGAGGAAGGUGGGGAUGACGUCAAGUCCUCAUGGCCCUUAUGGGUAGGGCUUCACACGUCAUACAAUGGUACAUACAGAGCGCCGCCAACCCGCGAGGGGGAGCUAAUCGCAGAAAGUGUAUCGUAGUCCGGAUUGUAGUCUGCAACUCGACUGCAUGAAGUUGGAAUCGCUAGUAAUCGCGGAUCAGCAUGUCGCGGUGAAUACGUUCAAGGGUCU
RNAcentral lists this ribosomal RNA (1361 nucleotides) under uncultured bacterium. RNAcentral's name for it is "bacterial SSU rRNA". It matches the Rfam family "Bacterial small subunit ribosomal RNA", at positions 28 to 1381 of the family's 1533-position model. The record is from RNAcentral.